Molecule: unclassified non-coding RNA, 381 nt
Filed under: fungal sp.
Lineage: Eukaryota; Fungi
Description: partial internal transcribed spacer region
Rfam family: Eukaryotic small subunit ribosomal RNA (bases 1-46)
Source: RNAcentral
AAGUCGUAACAAGGUUUCCGUAGGUGAACCUGCGGAAGGAUCAUUAACACGUAUCCAAACGUUAAAACAACCCUGUGAACCUUCAGCGUGUUCUUGCAGGACAUCAAAACAGCAAUCCCGAGUAAAUCAGGCGCUAAAGAAUUACAGAUUUUGACCUUGGGAAGUUCUGUGUGUACGUGGACGCUGCAAUUGAGCGCUAGAUAAAGCACCCUGGUACCCUAGAGUACUCCCCUGUCUGAAAGCGAAUGUUCAGGGUGGCGCAGUCAACGAUACAGGGGUGAGGGAAAACCCCUACGUCAUCCCUAUGUACCCUCCAGGACUUGGCGAAAGCUGACUCCGUCAUAAAUCGAACAACUGUUAACAAUGGAUAUCUUGGUUCUC